This 168-nucleotide ribosomal RNA is filed under the name uncultured bacterium. RNAcentral's name for it is "partial 16S rRNA". It matches the Rfam family "Bacterial small subunit ribosomal RNA", at positions 352 to 511 of the family's 1533-position model. The record is from RNAcentral.
CAAUAGGGAAUCUUCGGCAAUGGGGGCAACCCUGACCGAGCAACGCCGCGUGAGUGAAGAAGGUUUUCGGAUCGUAAAGCUCUCUUGUAAGAGAAGAACGUGUGUGAGAGUGGAAAGUUCACACAGUGACGGUAACUUACCAGAAAGGGACGGCUAACUACGUACCAG